CCUACGGGAGGCAGCAGUGGGGAAUUUUGGACAAUGGGCGCAAGCCUGAUCCAGCAAUGCCGCGUGAGUGAAGAAGGCCUUCGGGUUGUAAAGCUCUUUUGUCAGGGAAGAAACGGUGUUUUCUAAUACAGAGCGCUAAUGACGGUACCUGAAGAAUAAGCACCGGCUAACUACGUGCCAGCAGCCGCGGUAAUACGUAGGGUGCAAGCGUUAAUCGGAAUUACUGGGCGUAAAGCGUGCGCAGGCGGUUUUGUAAGUCUGUCGUGAAAUCCCCGGGCUCAACCUGGGAAUGGCGAUGGAGACUGCAAGGCUAGAGUUUGGCAGAGGGGGGUAGAAUUCCACGUGUAGCAGUGAAAUGCGUAGAUAUGUGGAGGAACACCGAUGGCGAAGGCAGCCCCCUGGGUCAAAACUGACGCUCAUGCACGAAAGCGUGGGGAGCAAACAGGAUUAGAUACCCUGGUAGUCCACGCCCUAAACGAUGUCUACUAGUUGUCGGGUCUUAAUUGACUUGGUAACGCAGCUAACGCGUGAAGUAGACCGCCUGGGGAGUACGGUCGCAAGNUUAAAACGUCAAAGGAAUUGACGG
This 586-nucleotide ribosomal RNA is filed under the name uncultured bacterium. Its description in RNAcentral is "bacterial SSU rRNA". It matches the Rfam family "Bacterial small subunit ribosomal RNA", at positions 338 to 916 of the family's 1533-position model. The record is from RNAcentral.